GACUAAGGUUCGACUUGAGCGCCAGCGAGAGAGCGUUGCCGCAGGCAACGACCCGAAGGGCGAAGCGCGCAGCGCUGAGUAAUCCUUCCCCCACCACCA
Molecule: small RNA, 99 nt
Filed under: Escherichia coli
Lineage: Bacteria; Pseudomonadati; Pseudomonadota; Gammaproteobacteria; Enterobacterales; Enterobacteriaceae
Description: partial RtT sRNA
Rfam family: RtT RNA
About the family: This family represents a bacterial cis-regulatory element known as RtT RNA. The exact function of RtT is unknown although it is thought that it may be involved in changing the cellular response in relation to amino acid starvation.
Source: RNAcentral